This is a long non-coding RNA of Aedes albopictus (Asian tiger mosquito), 1075 nucleotides long. RefSeq lists it as uncharacterized. Lineage: Eukaryota; Metazoa; Arthropoda; Insecta; Diptera; Culicidae. The record is from RefSeq and is a predicted model, not a curated record. The transcript has 2 exons.
GUAACAUUAAUUCUUGAAUAUGAUUUGAAUCUGGAUGUACGGGAAAUAAAAUUAACAGUGUAAUGCUUAUGAUACACUUUGACCUCUUUUGCAACAUGCGCGCCAUCUCUUGCCCUUUCUGAGACACCUGAAGCUUUUGCAAAAAAAAAGUAUCGAUAGUUUGUCUCGCAAGUUUCCGUGAGUGCCUCCAUGGAUCUCAUAACUGACCACAAAAAGUAUUUCAAAAAACCCCUAAUUGAACUAAUCCUAGAGGCUAGCCAAAUAUCCGCUACCUGCUUGUAUAACACAAUACAAGCAAAGGUAGAAUGAGAUCGAUAGCUUAGAAACGUUUAAGGCAAAAUGAGAUGGGGUUGUUCGAAAUUGCGUUCGACAAAAAUAGGUACGCAAUAGGGGGGGUUUAUAAAAACUAAAUUUUCCGACCGACAUUUUAUUCUCGUGCGAUUCGUCAAGUUUUCUAAAUCGGUGAAAAUUUCAAAUUACCAGUUAGCCAAGUCAAUAGUGAUUUUGGGAAGACAAAAUUGUAAUAAUCAGUGAUCAAAACAGUUAAUUGAUUAUUUUACAAUCUUUGGUAAAAACCUAUUUUAAAUGAAAUCUAGUGGAAAACCUUUAACUUUUCUCGAAUAAUUUUCGUAGAUUAAGAUUAAGCCAGGAUAGCCAUUUUGAAAAUCACUCUAAGUGUGACUAAAAUACCAGAUCAAAAGGGUGAUUCCCGCUGGUCAUCGCGGGUGUUUAUCCGGAGUCGCCGACUUCUAGGAAAAUCAGUUCGUUGACUCGAACCAGCCCUGCGACCGGACCACUCUCAUGCGAGCGCCCAUCAAUCGCGCAACAUCCGAAAGCUUUCCGCAACGUUUCUCGUCGCAGCAUCGGCAAGCUCAUCCCAUAAUUGUUGCCCAAAUCGUCUCACACCGAAACAUCGCACAAUCGGCAAGCGUUAGGCACAGAAGUUUGAAGAAGUGCCACCUGCGGGUGAGUAGCCGAAACUGUGUUUACACGCAUAGCAAGCAAACGAACGGUGGAAACGGUUGCGUGUGGAUAGUUGUGUUGCGGAUCGACCCCUGCAUGUGGAGUGUGGAAC